Molecule: long non-coding RNA, 910 nt
Organism: Cercocebus atys (sooty mangabey)
Lineage: Eukaryota; Metazoa; Chordata; Mammalia; Primates; Cercopithecidae
Exons: 4
Source: RefSeq, a predicted model, not a curated record
AUUGUUUCUUGAAUGGUAAAGAAAGGAGUGGAACCACAGUUGGAAACUCAGGUAUGGAUAUAUGAAAGUACCCCUGAUACCACCACCAUAAUCAAGGAAUGCAUUAGAAGAGAGACCAGGAUAGUGAAAGAAUAUCAUAUGAAGAAACAUUUUCAAGUCAAGAGGCUACCUACCUAGACAAGAGAAGACCUGACAAAUAUGUAAGAAGCUGCAGAGAAGGAUAUAAAUAGAAACCAGAUGAAACACUGGAACUGGACGUUGUAGAAGAUGAAUUAUGAGAGUGAUUUAUGAAAGAAAGACAAUGGAGAAUUACAAUCGAUGGAGCCAUUCAAAGAAAAGACUUUGGCACUGCAUCAAAAGACAGUAGAAUAAGUACCCUUUGCUUAUACAUUUUAAAUGAAAAUAAAUGUUUAUAAUACAUAGUUGCUGUUUUUUAAACUGUAAUUCAUUUACUAAGGCUGAAGGGAAGAAUGGAUGUUGGAUAAAGAACUUUCAAUUCUGUCAUUGUUAGUAGUAUUUGUGUGUGUGUGUGUGUGUGUGUGUGUGUGUGUGAGAAUGUUGAGCUUCUCAGUUUCAGUAGUUAGCAGGAAAAAGCACUGAAUCAUGAAGCAUAAACUAUGAAUAUAGCAUCUGUAUGAUAUUCUCUUAAAAAAUGGCAAAACUCUAGCAAACUGUCUUUGGUGCUUGCUUUUUUAGAAUGAUUGGCAUGGGAUCUGAGUCUUAGUUUCACCUUUUAUGAUUGCUUUUUACUGCAUCAAAUAUUUGACCAGGCAAAGUACAUUUCAAUGAACAGCUUUACUCCCCUUUAAAAGAAACUGAAAGUCCAGCUGAAACUCCUUAUCAAGUUAACUGGGAUCAUGGUGUUCAUUUUGGAUGAGGCAAUAUACUAAUUCACUAAGUCAACUCAACU